GCCUGCCUAGCUCAAUCGGAUAGAGCGUCAGACUCUUACCAAGUCCGAUUGUGGUGUGUAGUUGAUCUGAAGGCUGCGAGUUCGACCCUCGCGGUGGGCU
Molecule: non-coding RNA, 100 nt
Organism: Lentinula aciculospora
Lineage: Eukaryota; Fungi; Basidiomycota; Agaricomycetes; Agaricales; Omphalotaceae
Source: the annotation of a GenBank genome assembly